RNAcentral lists this ribosomal RNA (468 nucleotides) under uncultured bacterium. Its description in RNAcentral is "partial 16S ribosomal RNA". It matches the Rfam family "Bacterial small subunit ribosomal RNA", at positions 28 to 507 of the family's 1533-position model. The record is from RNAcentral.
GACGAACGCUGGCGGCGUGCUUAACACAUGCAAGUCGAACGGAAAGGCCCUGCUUUUGUGGGGUGCUCGAGUGGCGAACGGGUGAGUAACACGUGAGUAACCUGCCCUUGACUUUGGGAUAACUUCAGGAAACUGGGGCUAAUACCGGAUAGGAGCUCCUGCUGCAUGGUGGGGGUUGGAAAGUUUCGGCGGUUGGGGAUGGACUCGCGGCUUAUCAGCUUGUUGGUGGGGUAGUGGCUUACCAAGGCUUUGACGGGUAGCCGGCCUGUGAGGGUGACCGGCCACAUUGGCACUGAAAUACGGCCCAGACUCCUACGGGAGGCAGGAGUGGGGAAUAUUGCACAAUGGGCGGAAGCCUGAUGCAGUAAGGCCGAGAGCGGGAUGACGGCCGUCGGGUUGUAAACCACUUUCGCCUGUGACGAAGAGUGAGUGACGGUAAUGGGUAAAGAAGCACCGGCUAACUACGUG